ACAGGGGUAGCUGAAAACCUGUAAAAUAGAGUAAGCU
Chitinophaga niabensis is the source of this 37-nucleotide regulatory RNA element. It matches the Rfam family "DUF805b RNA". From Rfam's summary of the family: Bacteroidetes, Chlorobi (1 example), Proteobacteria. Lineage (Flavobacteria) NCBI's taxonomy places the organism in Bacteria, Pseudomonadati, Bacteroidota, Chitinophagia, Chitinophagales, Chitinophagaceae. The record is from Rfam.